RNAcentral lists this long non-coding RNA (1255 nucleotides) under Vulpes vulpes (red fox). RNAcentral's name for it is "lncRNA (ENSVVUG00000030229.1)". The record is from RNAcentral. Lineage: Eukaryota; Metazoa; Chordata; Mammalia; Carnivora; Canidae.
UGCCAAGGCUGAGCUGACAAUCUGUUUGAAAAUCUUUUUCCAGGUAUACAAGAUCAGUGAGCCUGUUCAAUGUAUACUGUGAUUAGAAUUUUUCUUCAGAUAUUUAUAUCAACAUUUCAGGUUUCGGGAGAAAUGUUUUCUGAGCCUACCUGUCAAAGAGAAACUUAUAAAAGAGUCUUCGAUCAAGAAAAACUAGUUCAUAAACCACCUGAUCCUGCCGCUGAAAUGUAUGAAUACAAGAUGCUUUUCAACUAAAUAACACUGAGGAUUGGUAAAUCUUUCUGACUGUUUUCAAGUGCUAACCUAUGAUGGCGGUAUGCAUUAACCCAAGUUUCUAACUCCAACAGAGGAGGGUGAGGGGACAGAGGCCAGGAGUGUUACCGAGCAGUUCACACUUCGCUGGGGUCCAAGCACCAGAGCCUCACUUUGAUGCCCCUCCCAGAAGCACUGGCUCUAUGUGCUGCUGUAAUACAAACACUUAAAAGACGAUGACCGAGAAAAGAUCUGCUCAUUGUUACAUGGCUCAUUUUCACACUAGUGAUGAACGCUAUCCCAAAUGGAUGGCUGUCCUCAUAUUCCCCUAUAGCCACUCAGGAGUCAUAGCAGUAAAGGGGGUGUUUUCUUUGUGACACUUCGUGGUAGUCUGGCUAACUUGGUGCAGCCGUUUCAGAGUCUUUCACAGAAAAGAAAGCUAUACCCAUGCCAGAUACCUGGAGUGUUGCUUUUAAAAAAUGUUGUAAGAUCUCUGUGAUGCAGCCCGAGAAAGUGUCAGAAUCUGUACUAGUGAAGUGACACAGAAAAAAAAAAAAAAAUGUCACUUGAAGAUGGAGGAGUACAUAUACAACCUAUCUGUUUCAUUUUGCGUUUCCAGAGCUUUAACUGGACACAUUAUGCAGAAUCUCUUAUUUUCCUGCAGAAAUUCCAGAGUUGGCCAUGAAUCCCCAAGAUGAGAAUACCUAAUACACUUUGGUAGGUGUUACUAUGCUCACAAAUUCAAAUGAUAAAAACAAAUAGGGCUUUGCAAAACAUGUAUAAAACCAACAUACAUGUUAAUGCCCAUGGUCUACCAGCUUAAGAUAGAGGACCCCAGAGAGAAACACUUCAGAAUUCCAUAACUACACCUACUUCAGGGCUCGUUUCAGGAAUGAAGAGUAGAUAAUCAUUUGUUUCGGAUGCACGGGAGGUGAGCAGGGAAUUUGAAAGGUGAGGGAAGGAAUAUUCUUAUUGGGGAUAAAAUGGAAAUUAUUUACUCUGG